GGAUGUGAGGGCGAUCUGGCUGCGACAUCUGUCACCCCAUUGAUCGCCAGGGUUGAUUCGGCUGAUCUGGCUGGCUAGGCGGGUGUCCCCUUCCUCCCUCACCGCUCCAUGUGCGUCCCUCCCGAAGCUGCGCGCUCGGUCGAAGAGGACGACCUUCCCCGAAUAGAGGAGGACCGGUCUUCGGUCAAGGGUAUACGAGUAGCUGCGCUCCCCUGCUAGAACCUCCAAACAAGCUCUCAAGGUCCAUUGUAGGAGAACGUAGGGUAGUCAAGCUUCCAAGACUCCAGACACAAAAUUCUGCCAAGUUAGCUCAUUUAU
RNAcentral lists this small nuclear RNA (318 nucleotides) under Rattus norvegicus (Norway rat). RNAcentral's name for it is "7SK RNA". It matches the Rfam family "7SK RNA". From Rfam's summary of the family: 7SK was discovered as an abundant small nuclear RNA in the mid-70s but a possible function has only recently been suggested. Two independent studies have found that 7SK RNA binds the CDK9/cyclin T complex (known as elongation factor P-TEFb). P-TEFb activates transcription by phosphorylating the C-terminal domain of RNA polymerase II. The record is from Rfam by way of RNAcentral. Lineage: Eukaryota; Metazoa; Chordata; Mammalia; Rodentia; Muridae.